GUCGCCUGUUUAUCAAAAACAUCGCCUCUUGAACUUUAUAAGAGGUCCAGCCUGCCCAGUGACUCUGUUCAACGGCCGCGGUAUCCUAACCGUGCGAAGGUAGCGUAAUCACUUGUUCUUUAAAUGUGGACUAGUAUGAAUGGCACUACGAGGGUUACACUGUCUCCUUUCUCUAAUCAGUGAAACUAAUUUUCCCGUGAAGAAGCGGGAAUACACCUAUAAGACGAGAAGACCCUAUGGAGCUUUAAACAAUCCAGCAAUUACUUUUUAAAUUAUAAAUUUCAGAAUGUUCAUUUUUUAAGUAAUGUGACUGCAAGUUUUUGGUUGGGGUGACCAUGGAGAAUAACACAACCUCCAUAUUGAAUGAAUUUUAUUUUAAGCUAAAAAUUACUUAUUAAAGCAUCAACACACUGACAUUUAUUGACCCAAUAUAUUUGAUCAACGAACCAAGUUACCCUAGGGAUAACAGCGCAAUCCACUUCAAGAGCCCCUAUCGACAAGUGGGUUUACGACCUCGAUGUUGGAUCAGGGUAUCCCAGUGGCGCAGCCGCUACUAAAGGUUCGUUUGUUCAACGAUUUAAAACCCUACGUGAUCUGAGUU
This 601-nucleotide ribosomal RNA is filed under the name Rhinella aff. margaritifera LM-2022. RNAcentral's name for it is "partial large subunit ribosomal RNA". It matches the Rfam family "Bacterial large subunit ribosomal RNA", at positions 1795 to 2611 of the family's 2925-position model. The record is from RNAcentral. Lineage: Eukaryota; Metazoa; Chordata; Amphibia; Anura; Bufonidae.